UGAGUAACACGUAUCCAACCUGCCGUCUACUCUUGACAGCCUUCUGAAAGGAAGAUUAAUACAAGAUGGCAUCAUGAGUCCACAUGUUCACAUGAUUAAAGGUAUUCCGGUAGACGAUGGGGAUGCGUUCCAUUAGAUAGUAGGCGGGGUAACGGCCCACCUAGUCAACGAUGGAUAGGGGUUCUGAGAGGAAGGUCCCCCACAUUGGAACUGAGACACGGUCCAA
This 226-nucleotide ribosomal RNA is filed under the name uncultured bacterium. RNAcentral describes it as "partial 16S ribosomal RNA". It matches the Rfam family "Bacterial small subunit ribosomal RNA", at positions 107 to 334 of the family's 1533-position model. The record is from RNAcentral.